RNAcentral lists this ribosomal RNA (708 nucleotides) under uncultured bacterium. RNAcentral's name for it is "bacterial SSU rRNA". It matches the Rfam family "Bacterial small subunit ribosomal RNA", at positions 775 to 1486 of the family's 1533-position model. The record is from RNAcentral.
GGAUUAGAUACCCUGGUAGUCCACGCCCUAAACGAUGUAUACCGGUUGUUGCUGUGCUAGUCACGGCAGUAAUCCACCUAACGGAUUAAGUAUACCGCCUGGGGAGUACGGUCGCAAGAUUAAAACUCAAAGGAAUAGACGGGGACCCGCACAAGCGGUGGAGCAUGUGGUUUAAUUCGAAGAUACGCGAAGAACCUUACCCGGACUUGAUAUCUAACAAAUCAUCCAGAGAUGGAAGAGUGUCUGCUUGCAGAAAUGUUAAGACAGGUGCUGCACGGCUGUCGCCAGCUCGUGUCGUGAGAUGUUGGGUUAAGUCCCGCAACGAGCGCAACCCACGUCAUUAGUUGCUAACGGUUCGGCCGAGCACUCUAAUGAGACUGCCUUCGUAAGGAGGAGGAAGGUGUGGACGACGUCAAGUCAUCAUGGCCCUUAUGUCCGGGGCGACACACGUGCUACAAUGGCAUAUACAAUAAGACGCAAUAUCGCAAGAUGGAGCAAAUCUAAAAAAUAUGUCCCAGUUCGGAUUGGAGUCUGCAACUCGACUCCAUGAAGCCGGAAUCGCUAGUAAUCGUAGAUCAGCCAUGCUACGGUGAAUACGUUCCCGGGUCUUGUACUCACCGCCCGUCACACCAUGGGAGUUGAUUUCACUCGAAGCGGGAAUGCGAAAUUCGCUACCCUCCACAGUGGGAUCAGUGACUGGGGUGAAGA